This 497-nucleotide ribosomal RNA is filed under the name uncultured bacterium. RNAcentral's name for it is "partial 16S ribosomal RNA". It matches the Rfam family "Bacterial small subunit ribosomal RNA", at positions 28 to 507 of the family's 1533-position model. The record is from RNAcentral.
GAUGAACGCUGGCGGCGUGCCUAAUACAUGCAAGUCGAGCGAACAGAUAAGGAGCUUGCUCCUUUGACGUUAGCGGCGGACGGGUGAGUAACACGUGGGUAACCUACCUAUAAGACUGGGAUAACUUCGGGAAACCGGAGCUAAUACCGGAUAACAUUUGGAACCGCAUGGUUCUAAAGUGAAAGAUGGUUUUGCUAUCACUUAUAGAUGGACCCGCGCCGUAUUAGCUAGUUGGUAAGGUAACGGCUUACCAAGGCGACGAUACGUAGCUGACCUGAGAGGGUGAUCGGCCACACUGGAACUGAGACACGGUCCAGACUCCUACGGGAGGCAGCAGUAGGGAAUAUUCCGCAAUGGGCGAAAGCCUGACGGAGCAACGCCGCGUGAGUGAUGAAGGGCUUCGGCUCGUAAAACUCUGUUAUUAGGGAAGAACAAAUGUGUAUGUAACUGUGCACGUCUUGACGGUACCUAAUCAGAAAGCCACGGCUAACUACGUG